Molecule: ribosomal RNA, 676 nt
Filed under: Mycetocola sp.
Lineage: Bacteria; Bacillati; Actinomycetota; Actinomycetes; Micrococcales; Microbacteriaceae
Description: bacterial SSU rRNA
Rfam family: Bacterial small subunit ribosomal RNA
Source: RNAcentral
GAUGCAGCAACGCCGCGUGAGGGACGACGGCUUUCGGGUUGUAAACCUCUUUUAGCAGGGAAGAAGCGAAAGUGACGGUACCUGCAGAAAAAGCACCGGCUAACUACGUGCCAGCAGCCGCGGUAAUACGUAGGGUGCAAGCGUUGUCCGGAAUUAUUGGGCGUAAAGAGCUCGUAGGCGGUUUGUCGCGUCUGCUGUGAAAACUGGAGGCUCAACCUCCAGCCUGCAGUGGGUACGGGCAGACUAGAGUGCGGUAGGGGAGAUUGGAAUUCCUGGUGUAGCGGUGGAAUGCGCAGAUAUCAGGAGGAACACCGAUGGCGAAGGCAGAUCUCUGGGCCGUAACUGACGCUGAGGAGCGAAAGGGUGGGGAGCAAACAGGCUUAGAUACCCUGGUAGUCCACCCCGUAAACGUUGGGAACUAGAUGUGGGGACCAUUCCACGGUCUCCGUGUCGCAGCUAACGCAUUAAGUUCCCCGCCUGGGGAGUACGGCCGCAAGGCUAAAACUCAAAGGAAUUGACGGGGGCCCGCACAAGCGGCGGAGCAUGCGGAUUAAUUCGAUGCAACGCGAAGAACCUUACCAAGGCUUGACAUGUACGAGAACGCGUGAGAGAUCACGUUCUCUUUGGACACUCGUAUACUAGGUGGUGCAUGGUGUCGUCAGCUCGUGUCGGAGAU